RNAcentral lists this ribosomal RNA (390 nucleotides) under uncultured Staphylococcus sp. Its description in RNAcentral is "bacterial SSU rRNA". It matches the Rfam family "Bacterial small subunit ribosomal RNA", at positions 63 to 446 of the family's 1533-position model. Lineage: Bacteria; Bacillati; Bacillota; Bacilli; Caryophanales; Staphylococcaceae. The record is from RNAcentral.
CGAACAGACGAGGAGCUUGCUCCUCUGACGUUAGCGGCGGACGGGUGAGUAACACGUGGAUAACCUACCUAUAAGACUGGGAUAACUUCGGGAAACCGGAGCUAAUACCGGAUAAUAUAUUGAACCGCAUGGUUCAAUAGUGAAAGACGGUUUUGCUGUCACUUAUAGAUGGAUCCGCGCCGCAUUAGCUAGUUGGUAAGGUAACGGCUUACCAAGGCGACGAUGCGUAGCCGACCUGAGAGGGUGAUCGGCCACACUGGAACUGAGACACGGUCCAGACUCCUACGGGAGGCAGCAGUAGGGAAUCUUCCGCAAUGGGCGAAAGCCUGACGGAGCAACGCCGCGUGAGUGAUGAAGGUCUUCGGAUCGUAAAACUCUGUUAUUAGGGAA